AGAGUUUGAUCCUGGCUCAGAAUGAACGUUGGCGGCGUGCCUAACACAUGCAAGUCGAGCGAGAAAGUCCUUCGGGAUGGGUAAAGCGGCGAACGGGUGAGUAAUGCAUAAGAAUCUACCUUUUAGUGAAGAAUAUCUUUGGGAAACUAAAGUUAAUACUGCAUACGUCCCUUUGGGGAGAAAGAUGGCCUCUUGCUGUCGCUAAAAGAUGAGCUUAUGUUCUAUUAGCUAGUUGGUAGGGUAAAGGCCUACCAAGGCGAUGAUGGAUAGCCGGCCUGAGAGGGUGUACGGCCACAUUGGAACUUAGACACGGUCCAGACUCCUACGGGAGGCAGCAGUGAGGAAUAUUGCACAAUGGGCGAAAGCCUGAUGCAGCGACGCCGCGUGGAGGAUGACGGUUUUCGGAUUGUAAACUCCUGUUAAGUGGGAAAAAAGACUCGCUAUGAAUAAGAGCGGGGGAUGAUGGUACCACUAGAGAAAGCACCGGCUAACUUCGUGCCAGCAGCCGCGGUAAUACGAGGGGUGCAAACGUUAUUCGGAAUCAUUGGGCGUAAAGGGUGCGUAGACGGCAGAUUAAGUCGAUUAUUAAAUCUUCUGGCUUAACCAGAAGUUUGUGGUCGAGACUGAUUUGCUAGAGGAUGGAAGAGAGAAGUGGAAUUCUCGGAGUAGCGGUGAAAUGCGUAGA
RNAcentral lists this ribosomal RNA (685 nucleotides) under uncultured bacterium. Its description in RNAcentral is "bacterial SSU rRNA". It matches the Rfam family "Bacterial small subunit ribosomal RNA", at positions 8 to 694 of the family's 1533-position model. The record is from RNAcentral.